UCUUCUGCAGACUCAAGAGCCCUGCUGAGCUGCUCCCCAGACAAGUAGCACAUGUAAGCAGCUGGGACACCCCAGCAGGGAAGUUUCUGUUCGAGGCUGUACCACUGUGGGAGGAAGCUCUAUAGCUUGCAUGCAGUAAUAAACCCCGACAUCCUCAGCCUCCACCAGGCUGAUUUUCAGUGUGAAAUCAGUGCCUGAUCCACUGCCACUGAACCUGUCUGGGACUCCAGAGGCCCGGUUGGAAGCCGCAUAGAUCAGGAGCUGUGGAGACUGGCCUGGCUUCUGCAGGGACCCAGAGCAUUAGCAGCCCCAGGAGCUGAGCACAGAGCCUCAUCGUGAGAAGGUGCGCUGAGGAUUCCUGAUCAGUCAAGACAAGGGCAUCAGGUAAAGAGAAUUUGAGGCUCAAAUCCUGGCCUCACUGAUGGCUUACAGAAACCCUUUCAGAGCAGCUCUGAGAACCACAGUAGCUUUCCAAGCUGAGGAAGCAUCUGGGGACACUUGACCUUCUAAAAGAACAACU
Long non-coding RNA from Callithrix jacchus (white-tufted-ear marmoset), 520 nucleotides. RefSeq lists it as uncharacterized. The record is from RefSeq and is a predicted model, not a curated record. Lineage: Eukaryota; Metazoa; Chordata; Mammalia; Primates; Cebidae.